UCCCUCUCCCUCCUUUCCAUUCUCUCUCUCCUUCUUUCUUUCCGAAUCCCUCUCCCUCAUUGGCUAUGUUGUGUCAAUAUGGGCAAGGAAUCAAAUGACAUGGUUGCAUACCAGAUCAUACUAUAUGGUAAUCAGUUUGGAUUUUGAUAAUGAUACAAUAAAUUUGGGAGUCAAGGAUUCAAUUCCUAUGGGAUGGGGCCAUUGUGGUUGUUUCCAUGGAAUGAGAUGCUUUGCAUCUUGAAACUCGAGAUUGUAGAUGUUCCAUCCAUUCUGGUUCCUACACA
RNAcentral lists this long non-coding RNA (284 nucleotides) under Elaeis guineensis (African oil palm). RNAcentral's name for it is "long non-coding RNA (EGUI_LNC034371)". Lineage: Eukaryota; Viridiplantae; Streptophyta; Magnoliopsida; Arecales; Arecaceae. The record is from RNAcentral.